GAACGCUUGAAGUCAGUCGCGUUGUCCGGGACUCAGCCUUGCUUCGGCUUGGUGCACUUCCCGGAUGACGGGCCAGCAUUCGAUUUUGACCGCUGGAAAAGGGCUGGAGGAAUGUGGCACCUUCGGGUGUGUUAUAGCCUUCAGUCGCAUACGGCGGUUGGGAUCGAGGAACGCAGCACGCCUUUAUGGC
RNAcentral lists this ribosomal RNA (190 nucleotides) under Panellus stipticus. RNAcentral describes it as "partial large subunit ribosomal RNA". Lineage: Eukaryota; Fungi; Basidiomycota; Agaricomycetes; Agaricales; Mycenaceae. The record is from RNAcentral.